RNAcentral lists this non-coding RNA (29 nucleotides) under Mus musculus (house mouse). Lineage: Eukaryota; Metazoa; Chordata; Mammalia; Rodentia; Muridae. The record is from RNAcentral.
UGAAAAUGUGUGAGUGCCAUACUGUGAUC